GGCAAUGCCUUUCAAAGGAGGGCAUCAAGUGAACCUCAAGUUUAUUUAAAGCGUAAGCUUCCUUGCAGGUGUGUAUAAUUAUACCCCAACUCCAAAAUGCGGUUCCGAUGAGAGGGCGUGCCGGGUGCACGCGGGCAGCAGCUUGUCCUGGGAGGUGUACUAGCUUCCUGUGGCUGCAAGUUACUACAAACUGGGUGGCUGGAAACAACAGGAAUUUCUUCUCUGACGGUUCUGGAGGCCAGAAGUCUGAAAUCAAGGCGUUGUCAAGGGGGCCGCCAUUCGAUCCACUACGUGAGGCAGUAAGAAGCAUAUUCCCGAAGGAAUUGUUGAAAUAUUGACGGACUUCAGAGCUCCGUGAGCUGGGCGGACUCACAUGGCUGGUGUCCAUGCUAUGAGGCGAGUGGGGCCCGCAUGCUCUACGCCCUGGAAUGCCGCUCCACCCACCUCAGUUACUCAUGGAAAUUAGAAGGAAUGGGCUUCGUUACACCAUUGUGAGUUUUUCAAAUGGGAUUCCACUUCAGUUACAUUAUGACAUGGAGGCAUUAUGAAAAGUUACUGACAGAAGGAACACACGUGUGAAGAAGGAUGCUCUGGAUGGAAUUUGAUUCUCUUCCAAUAUUUGAAUGUUGAACAUGGACCCUCUCAGUUCACCUGCCUAAUCAAUAAAUAUCUGUCCUGUGCAGCUGUGGAUUUCUGGCCAUAUGAGCCUCCAUUAGGAGAUGCCCUAUCCUAGUAGAAUGCUGGUAAUGAUUUCUCUCAUUCAGUCCUAAAAGUGGUGGAUUUCAUGCACAGAGAAGCUGCCAGGUGUUACUUAGGGCAUCUUUAUUGGUCAUAGAAGCACCUACUGCUGACUCAGUGGGCAGGCUGGUGGUCACGUGCCUUUGAUCAGCAAGAGGGUGUAACUCACACGAAGACAGAAUCCGGAGGGAGCAGGGAGAAUGGAGGUGUGGGUAGGAAGGUUCUGGGAUGGCUUGGGGUUGGCUCUAAGGAUUGGGCCACGGCCUCCAAAGCCCGGCCUGAUGGAGGCAAAGAGAAGGAAUCGGCGCUCUGAACCUUUGAGAUCUAUAGACAUCAGGUCUCCUCUGGGAUCAAGGAUGCAGGAAAGUCUGAUGUAAUAAUAACAACCACCACCAUUUAUUGGGGCCUCUAUGUUCAGGAAUUUGCUAAACAUCUUAUAGUUUUAUUUCUUUUAAUCUUCACAGCAGCCCUGGGAGGUGGUAUCCUAGUCAGGGCUCUCUCAGUUACAAGAGACAAACUAGGUCAAGUUCAACACAGGGAGGACUGGACGUAUGUUGGGGUCACUUGAAGAACUGGAGGAAGAACCACAGAAACCAUGGCACCCCCAGGGGCCUGGGGACCAGAAACGAGAGCGGGUCACCAUCAGCACACGCCCCAUCUCUGCUCCCUCUAGACGUUGCCUUUUUUCUCUUUUACAGUGGAAAGCUCUUUUCAUACAACAAAACAGCAAGCAGCUUUGGCUUCCAUCAUGCAGUUUCUCCAGUUGUCCAUCUAGAAAAAAAUUCUGGAGAAUUUAGCCCUGCUUGCAUCUGGGGCCCAGUCCCAGGCCAGUUCCUCUGGGCAGAGGGGUGGCCCGUCUAGACCAUGUGCCCACUCAAUGAAAGUUGGGCCCAUUCGUGCAAGAAGGGAUGGAAGGUUCUGGAAAAAGCAAAGUAGCGGUAGGUAUUGCUCUCCCCUUGGACGGAUGGGGCAAUGAGGCUCGGAGAUGUCAUGCGCCUUUCCAGGCAUUUGAACCCAAGUAUAUUUGGCUCCACAUCUUGGCUCUUAACCCCAUCCUGGUGCUGCCUUGCCCAAUGCCAGCUGUGGAUCCCAGGCAGAGGCUCAACAUGACCACGGGAGGGCCUGUUUGGGAAUGAAUGGAUGAGAACAGGUGCUAUAUUCAAUAUAUUUUGCAUGGGCAUUGCAUUAAUUUCCUAGUGCUGCUGGAACAUAUCGCCACAGACUAAUUAGCUAACAGUUCUGGGGGUCGGACUUCCCCAAACCAGUCCAACAGGGCUAAAAUCACAGUGUCAGUAGGACUGAGUUCCUUCUGGAGGCUCCAGGGGAGAAGUCAUCCUUUGCCCUUUCCAACUUCUAAAGGCGCUUGCUUUCCUUGGCGCAUCUCCUUCUCUGACUCUGACCCACCUGCCUGCCUCUUAUAAGGACCUUUGUGACUAAAUCGAGCUCUCCUGGAAAGUCCAGAAUCCUCUCCAGGAUAACAUGUUGCCGUGUGAGGUAACAUAGCACAGGCUCUAGGGGUUAGCACGCAAACAUCUUUGGGGCCAUUAUUCUGCCCAUCGCAGGCAUUGGCCAAUCAGAGCAGAGGCGCUCUGUGCUGCUGAGGCAGGGCCUUAUGGCCCUCUGCUGUGCCAGGUGUUACAGAGAUAGUUGCUAGCUCGUUGGGGGAUCUGGGCAGAGGGAACAGGGAGCUUCAGGCAGUGGCUCUCAGCCAACUGACAUGGAAAUAUUUCAACAGUAACGAGUGGCAUCGUGGAACUGCUGAGUCCCAGCUGAGGGUCAGCCUGGGUGACAUUCGAUUGAGGGGUGUCAUGGAGUGCAGCAGCCGACACUGGCAGCAGGUGGGGGUGCUGUAGGGUGGGGAGCGAGCACUAGAACCUGCGGAAAGAAGGGUGGUGCUGGGUCUGGGCAAGGCUUGCGCUGCUUCACCUGGGACCAGGGAGAGGGAGCCAGGCACAUCCCAGAGCUCGAGGGUUCGGGGGCUUGGCGAGGUCAGUCGUGGCUUCAGGUUGGGUCCACGCGGCCAGAUCUGGCCAGUGGAGGCAGAGGGAAACGAGAGCAAGGGGCUCUGGAUGGCAGAGAGACCACCCCAGAGAGACCCACUCUUCUGACGCUUGAGAUCAUCUCAAGAAGGAAGCUCCCUGGGGCAGGCGGCUUAGGUACUUAGUCAACAGAAGGGCCCGUGGGUGAGAAACAAAGAAACCAGAGAGCGAUCUCUGCGUCUUACAAGAAGAGCAUCCUCCAGGGCCGGCCCAGUGGCUGAGUGGUUAAGUCUGCACGCUCCACUUUGGCAGCCUGGGUUUGCCGGUUCAGUUCCUGGGCGUGAACCUAUACAACGCUCAUCAAGCCACAUUGUGGCAGCAUCCCACAUUGAAGAACUAGAACGACCUACAACUAGGAUAUACAACCAUGCACUGGGGCUUUGGGGAGAAAAAAAAAAAGAAAAAGAGGAAGAUUGGCAACAGAUGUUAGCUCAGGGCCAAUUUUCCUCAAAAAAAUAAAUAAAUAAAUAAAAAAGGCAGAGCAUCCUCCAAAAGAGAGAGACAGCCUCCCCCUCUGAUGGUGUGGGAUCCUCCAUCGGCCUGGUUUGUCAGCCCCACCAGGAUCCAGGGAACCCCAUGCCUUCCCCAGGGCACUGGAACCGGAGCUGCCGGGAAAGGCCCAGGCCUGGGGUUGUGGGGAAGAAACGGAUUCUACAGAAGGCCCUGGGCUGGAAGGCUCUGACCUAAGCACGUCCAUGUUCUUAGAUUUCCUGGGACUCAGGCAGGGCCUGCUUCAUGGGCGGGCGACCAUGUGGUUGCACAGGCUUUGUGCUCAGAAGGGCCUAGAAUGGACUGGAUAGUGUCCCCUGAAAGAGACACCUCUAUCCUAACCCCCAGGACCUGUGAACGUGAGCUUAUCUGGCAAUAGGGUUUUUGCAGAGGUCAUUAAGUUAAAGAUCUUGUGAUGAGAUCAUCCUCGAUGUGGGGGCCACCAAAUCCAAUGACUGGUGUCCUUGUAAGACACAGGGGAGGGGAAUUUGAGAUGCAGAGACACACAGACAGAAGGGCCCUGUGAAGACCGAGGCAGAGAUGGGAGCGAUGCAGCUGCAAGCCAAGGAUCGCCAGCAGCCACCAGAAGCAAGAGAGAAGCGUGGGACGGAUUCUCCCUCAGAGUCCUGGCAAGGAACCGGCCCUGCCAACACCUUGGUCUCAGACUUCCGGCCUUCAGAACUCAAGAGAAUAGAUUGCCGUUGUUUUAAGGCACAUGGUUUGUGGUGAUUUGUUACGACAGAGUUAGAAAACUAAUCCAGGCCCCACACUUGGUUUAAUGUCCUGCUUGGCCGCUGUCUCAAAAUUCUUAAUGCUUCUGACCCAGGGCCCCACAUUUUUACCUGGCUCUGGGUCUUGCAAAUGUAUAGCUGGCCCUGAGCUUGGGUUUCCAUGGGAAGUAAUAACGGUAUGCCUGCCCUCCAAACCUGCUCAUCACUCUCUCUGGGUGGCAGUGAAAUGGCUCUCCAGUCAACAGCAGAGGGCCCUGUGAUAACCGCCCUGGAAUAGCUAACCGGAAGCCCCUUUGCGUUCUUUCAAGAGGAACUUAGGCCCAUCCAGAGAAGAAUGGGUUUUUGAAAGCCCCAAAGCCAUCCAAGUGCGUGCCCAGGGGUCAUGUGGAGGAGAUCAAGGCCCUCCCGGUUUCUGACGGUUCAACCGCCUUAGCCGUGUGCACAGACCAUCCCGGGAGCGUGGCCGCUCUUUCUGCCUUACACCCGAGACUUGAUGCCCAGGGCUGGUGGAAGGAGCCAGAGGCACCCCUGCCUGUCGCUGUGUGCUGAGUUAUGCAGGGUCUCAUGAGUGUGUGUUGUUCCUUCUAAGAAGCCCAAGGAGCAUUUUCUUAUGGUGUUUUUGUAGUUAUUCUUUACCGAAAAGAUGCAAAUGAUCCAUUUUCUUUCUGUGAGUGAGACACUAGAAGAGUCUCUGUGUGAGAGCCGGUUCUCAAAAUGACUAAUCUGUUCAUUGGAAUUUGGUUCCUGAGUAGGGUGGCUUUUCCUGAGUUCUCUCCAGGAAAUUGCUAUGACCAGUGGCCUCUCCUACUACAGAAUCAACGUCACUCCCUCGCCCCACCUGAGUCACCGUGCUCACUGAGGUGAAGCUGUCCUGCCCUUCAGAGAAGCCCCAGGUCCCAGAUUACCGAGGAGGCCACAGGUAGGCAGUACCCAGCCAAAUUUAGGGCUACCUCGUUUCGUCCAUCUAAUUCCCUGUGAGCGUCCAGUCACCUGCACCAAGCGAGAUUCCUCCUGACUUGUGAGUCUGGCAGGUUACCAAAGCUCAGAGUCUGCAUAGACUCUGCACUAGGUUUCUUCCACAAGAGCGUAUUCUUGUGAAAUCUAAACCAAAAGGGAGAGCUGGCAGACAGGAUAUUUUUCUCUAGACCCGUGACUUAACUGUUAGCCAUGAAGUGUCCUGGAUUUAAUGAAAUGAUGUUCCCAGCCUGGGUCCCCUUGGUGCCCACCGCAAUGGCUUUCUUCGUGAGAUGGGGAGAGGAAGAUGCACAAGACCCCAGACCAUAAGUUCUGAUCCUGAUGUGUGUGAGUUCAGACUGUGCCUUCCGUGGUCCUGUAGAGAAAGCAUCAUCUGAAGAGUGAAGUGUUCACAAACAGAUGCUCAUAAGUUGGGUGUUAGAGAAGGACUCAUGCCCUAGGAUGAAACCAGAUUGGAUUAGCCCAGCGAAACUUCCAAUUCUAAAAUUCUAUGCUUCUGUGUAGUCCUAGAGACCCAUUAUGUCAGACUCUCCAACUUGUGGCAAAUUGGUCAACGCACAACCUUUGAUUCUAAUUUACAUGGCAACCCUACUUACCCUCGAGUUUGGAAAUAAAAUGAGCGUACCCUCUAAUGUUGUUACCCGGGUAAUUUCUGCCUUCAUGUGUAGCCCAGGAUUCCUCAGUCUUUAAACCAUCAAUUAUAUGUCCUGAUUCCAGACUAGAAUGUAAUCAAUACUUACUUAUUCGGGCAAGUGUCUACCCGCAGCUUGCUGAGCCUAGCAAGUAAAAUAUUUACGACCUGAC
Molecule: long non-coding RNA, 5776 nt
Filed under: Equus caballus (horse)
Lineage: Eukaryota; Metazoa; Chordata; Mammalia; Perissodactyla; Equidae
Description: lncRNA (ENSECAG00000059665.1)
Source: RNAcentral